CCUGCCCACUGAUAAUAUAAAAUUUAAUGGCCGCGGUAUUAAUGACCGUGCAAAGGUAGCAUAAUCAUUAGUCUUUUAAUUGAAGGCUUGUAUGAAUGGUUGAACAAAAGAAAAACUGUCUUCUUAAUAUAAAUUGAAUUUAACUUUUAAGUGAAAAGGCUUAAAUAGUUCAAAGGGACGAUAAGACCCUAUAAAGCUUUAUAUAAAAUAAAUUUUAGAUUGAAGUUUUAAUUGAAAAUUAAGAUUUAUGUUUAUAUUGUGUUGGGGCAACAUAAGUAUAAUUAUAAAUAACUGCUUAGUUUAUAAACAGAUAUGUUUGUAUUAUUUAAAUGAUCCUUAUUUUAAAGAUUUUAAGAUUAAGUUACUUUAGGGAUAACAGCGUAAUUUUUUUAGAGAGUUCAUAUUGAAAAAAAAGUUUGCGACCUCGAUGUUGAAUUAAAAUUUCUAUAUAGUGCAGCUAUUAUAUAAGAAGGUCUGUUCGACCUUUAAUUUUUUACGUGAUCUGAGUU
Molecule: ribosomal RNA, 509 nt
Filed under: Potamocarcinus chajulensis
Lineage: Eukaryota; Metazoa; Arthropoda; Malacostraca; Decapoda; Pseudothelphusidae
Description: partial large subunit ribosomal RNA
Rfam family: Archaeal large subunit ribosomal RNA
Source: RNAcentral